Molecule: non-coding RNA, 75 nt
Organism: Myotis brandtii (Brandt's bat)
Lineage: Eukaryota; Metazoa; Chordata; Mammalia; Chiroptera; Vespertilionidae
Source: Rfam
GGCAGUUCUUGGGUGAUGCACCCCAGAAUCAGACUCCCUCCUCUCUGGUUCUGGGUGCAUCACCUGAGAACUGCA